RNAcentral lists this ribosomal RNA (253 nucleotides) under uncultured bacterium. RNAcentral's name for it is "partial 16S ribosomal RNA". It matches the Rfam family "Bacterial small subunit ribosomal RNA", at positions 524 to 776 of the family's 1533-position model. The record is from RNAcentral.
UACGGAGGGUGCAAGCGUUAUCCGGAUUCACUGGGUUUAAAGGGUGCGUAGGUGGGCUAGUAAGUCCGUGGUGAAAUCUCCAAGCUUAACUUGGAAACUGCCGUGGAUACUAUUAGUCUUGAAUCUCGUGGAGGUAAGCGGAAUAUGUCAUGUAGCGGUGAAAUGCUUAGAUAUGACAUAGAACACCAAUUGCGAAGGCAGCUGGCUACACAAAUAUUGACACUGAUGCACGAAAGCGUGGGGAUCAAACAGG